UCCAUAUGCCCAUAUGCCAAAAGUGUGGCCAUUCAAAAAAAAAAAUCUAAUCUUAUUGUGAUCUCUCAAUUCUGUCUUUCGUCUUUUUUGUUGUUGUUGUUGUUGUUAUUGUUGCUAUUUCUUGGGCCGCUCCCGUGGCAUAUGGAGGUUCCCAGGCUAGGGGUUGAAUCGGAGCUGUAGCCACCGGCCUACGCCAGAGCCACAGCAACGCGGGAUCCGAGCCGCGUCUGCAACCUACACCACAGCUCACGGCAACGCCGGAUCGUUAACCCACUGAGCAAGGGCAGGGACCGAACCCACAACCUCAUGGUUCCUAGUCAGAUUCGUUAACCACUGCGCCACGACGGGAACUCCUGAUCUCUCAGUUCUGUAUGUAUUCUAUCACCAACUUGUACCCAAGGAUUUUCAGAUCCUCUACAGCCAGUGCUCCAUGCUUGUGUCACCCUGAUGUAUCUCUGUAGUCAUUCUUCCUGCAGCCAAAUGUGGGGAGGGGAGGGUCAGUCUUGCUGUAUGGAAUGCUGGCUUUUCCUGCCUUUUUCCUGUCUCUAUUUCCUUUGCCCCCAUCACAGCUCUUGAGGGAGUGAGCUGUGCCUGCCAGCUCAUUGCCCUUCUUUACCCACAUAGGAGAUAGCCAGUCUGAAACUCUGAACCACAAGUUCUAGGUCAGCUUGCUGAUUUCUACUUUUAAAGGCUUGGGGACAGGGCAGAACCUUUGACAGCCUUUGCCUUCCAAUUUACUCCUCCUCCUCCUCUCCCCUCUACUCUCUGUUUCCCCAUUGUGUAGUGACCUAUAUUUUUCUCCAUGAAACAUGUGUCUGUCAAUUCCAGGGCAGGUCUGGGAGCCAGCACACACAAUAAAUCCUGUGACCAGGCACCUGGGCAGGUGACACAUGCCAGCAGCCUAGAGCUGAUAACACAGCCAGCUCUUCUGGGGAGUGGGUUCUUCUCAUGGCCUCGGCAGCAUGCACGGCCGGCUGAGAGCACCACUCACAGACCGCUAUGUGUGUGAGUCCUAACAGAAUAGGAAGGGAGGACACCUUUUGAAGGCUCACAUUUUUCACAGCUCAGUAAUCACAGGGAGCUUGUCAUUCCCCCAGGGUGGGAGGCAUGUGUUUAAUUUAUACACCCCGGCCGGCUGGUUUGGGAAUUCAUGUUGGCUCUCAGCGUGCCUUCUGGAGAUCAGAGGACCAGAUGGGUGCCACCCAGUGGGCACAGUCAAGUGGGCCUGGGCCCGCUCAUGUGCAGCACACAGAGAGGUCCUCAUGAGCUUCUCACCACCAGCACUCCCAUUUUCCUAGUAAGUAGUUUAGCCUCCUACACCUGAGUUCCUGAUGUGUCAAAGGAAGAUGACGAAAGUAACUACUUGGCAGGACUUGGUAAGUAUUCAAGGAGGUAAGCCACAAGAAAGAGCCCAGAGCCUACCACCUAAUAAGGACAGAAUAAAUGUGAGCGAUUUUUUUGCUGGCAUUAUCAUUUUCUGUCAUUUAUCGAUGAGGUCUAGAAAAAUUCACCAAGCUGCCUCAAGUCACAGGCGCAGUAACAAUUCAAGCCAGGAUUGGAACCCAAGCCUAGACUCUUAGCCACUGUGCUUUGUACUAUGUAAAGUAUAGCCUGUGCUAUAGAAAAUGUCUUUCUUUCUUUUUUUUUAAAAUAAAGUAUAGUUUAUUUCCAAUGUUGUGCCAAUUUCUGCUGUAAAUCAAAGUGACCCAGUCAGAAAUACAUAUAUAUCUUUCUUAUAUUAAUAGAAAAGUUGAUGAUGAAUCUAUGAAUCCCUCAAUGACCAGGAUCAUGUAUUUUUUUUUAAUUGACGUGUACCUGAUUUACAAGAUUGUGUCAGUUUCAGGUAUACGAUAUAGUGAUUCAGUAUUUUUGCACAUUAUGUUCCAUUACAGGUAAUUCUAAGAGAAUGGAUAUAAUUCCCUGUACUAUACAGUUUAUAUUUGUUGCUUAUCUAUUCUACCUAUAGUAGUUUGUAUCUGUCAACCCCAUAUACCCCUAAUUUGUCCCUUCCCCCUUUCCUUCUCCCAUUUUGGUCAUCACAGUUUUGUUUUCUCCAUCUGUGAGUCUAUUUCUGUUCUGCAUACACAGUCCUUUGUAUUAUUUUUUAGAUUUCAUAUAUAAGUGAUAUCUUAAGUAUUUGUCUUUGACUUAACUUGGUUUAGUAUGAUAAUCUCCAAGUCUAUCUGUGUUGCUGCAAAUGGCAUUAUUCCAUCCUUUUAAUGACUAAAUAUUCCAUUGUGUAUAUGUACCACAUCUUCUUUAUCCAUUCAUCUGUUCAUGGACACUUAGGUUGCUUUCAGGUCUUGGCUUUUGUAAAUAGUGUUGCUAUAACUAUUGAGUUGCAUGUGUCUUUUCAAAUUAGAGUCUUACAUAUAUCUUUUCCAGAUAUAUAAUCAGAGGUGGAAUUGCUGGAUCAUACAGUGGUUCUCUUUUUAGAGGCACCGCCAUACACUUUUCCAUAGUGGCUACACAGAAUUUUUCAUUUUCAUCUUUGCAUCCCCAUUGCCUAUCACAUAGUAGGAGCUCAUACUGAUUCAAUGAAUGGCUGAAUCAGGAAGGAAGCAUGUUCUGGAGGAACAAAUCAGGUUAAUUAAGUCAGGAAAGGAUAUGGAAAUGUAGGGGGCCAUAGAGCCUAUUACUUGGUUAUGUAGUUACUAGCACCAGUAUAUGACUGACUCAGAAAGUACCCACAUGGUUACCCUAAUGCUAAACCAACCUAAUUUUGAAUCUGAGGACUACUGUGCUUCCUAGGCUAGGAAUUAUCUGGUCCUAAACCUGCCUCAGCCAUACACAAAGCUGACUGAGGCCAAGCACAAAGUAGAGAUUGGGGCCAAAAUUCAGAUAUGUGUAAUUUCAAAACAUGAAUUCAGAAUCUCCUCAAAUUCUAAAACCGCUAGCUUAAUGCUUUUUUUUUUUUUUUUUAAAAAAGCCAUCCAGGACACCUUAAGAUGCACAUUGAGGUUUUUUCUUUCUUUCUUCUGAAGACAAUUGUCUUAUGUGUCAUUUUAAUUGAUAAUUAUAGAAAAUUUGGAAAACAUUCCAGAAUAUGAAACAGUUGACCAAUCUAAAUCCCCAAAUUCUAAAAUAACUGCUAAACCUAUUUGGCUGUAUUUCUUUCUAUAAAACAAUGGCUUUUUAGCUAGAGCUCAUUGAGCAGUUACAACUUUUUGGUUUCUACAGAUCUGGUGAAGCCUUCAAGAUUUCUUUUGGAAGAAAAUAAAUUUUAGACUUCUAUAAAAGAUACAGUGGGAAAGGGAAAUAAAUUGGGAGUUGGUGUUUAAAAUAUAAACACUCCUGGCAUUUCCACUGUGGCUUGGUGGAAUUAAGAACCUGACAUAGUGUCCAUGAGGAUGCAGGUUCGAGCCUUGGCCUUGCCCAGUGGGUUAAGGAUCUGGCAUUGCUGCAUAGGUUACAGAUGCAACUUGGAUCUGGCAUUGCUGCGGCUGUGGCAUAGGCCAGCAGCUGCAGCUCCAACUCUACCUCUAGGCUGGGAAAUUCCAUAUGCCACAGUAGUGGCCCUGAAAAGAAAAAAAAGAAAAAAGAUAUGCAUACUUCUAUAUAUAAAGUAGAUAAACAUCAAGGAUCUACUAUAUAGCAUAGCAUAGGGAACUGUACUCAAUAUCUUGUAAAAACCUAUGAUGGAAAAGAACCUUAAAAAGAAUAUGCGUGUGUGUGUGUGUGUGUGUGUGUGUGUGUGUGUGUGUGUAUAACUGAUUCAUUUUACUGUAUACUUAAAACUAAUACAACAUUGUAAAUUAACUAUACCCCAUUUUUUAAAAAUCUCAAAAAAAAAAAAUAGAUGUGAUGGAGUAAGGGGAAAGACCCUCAAUAGGAAGUCAGGUGACCUUGCCAUCAUCUCCAGGUCUGACCUCCGCUUGGCAUUCACCUUGCAGAUUUCAGUUAUCCUUGCUUCUCCCACCUUAUAUCCGUCUUUCUUUCUCAACAACCUGCCCUGUAGACUUUAGGUUUCUAUACCAGAUACAGAAACAGCAGCCUUACAUAGACUAUUGAGCCAGCUCUUCUCAUUGCCAAAGGUCAAAUUCUUAUAAUAAAUCCCUGAUAAUAUACAUCUUCUGAAGGUUCAGAGCAAACCCUGACUGAUGAAGCAAGAAUGAUGGCUAUCAUAUGCAUAGUCUCACGCAUACAAACUUACUACUCAAAGAAUCUUUAUGACUCAGAUGAUCCUCGUAUAGGUCUCACGAUUAUUGUCUGCCCUCCUUUCUCCAGGAACAUAGACUCCCUAGGGGCAGGGUUGUUGAGAAGCCCCAAAGCACGUGGUUGUAUUGGUUUCCUGGGGUGGCCAAAACAAAAUACCACAAACUGGGUGGCAUAGAACAAUGGAAAUCUAUUCUCGCACAGUUCUGGAAGCUGAAAGUUUAAAAUCAAGCUGUUGGAGGAUAUUUCCUUGCCUCUUCCAGCUUCUGGCAAUCUCAGGUAUCCCUUAACUGUGGCAGCAUAACUCCAGUCUCUACCUGUGUCAUCAAAUGGCAGUCUCUCUGAGUUUCUGUGUCUUCACAUGACCAUUUUCCCUCUGUAUCUCUUCUUUAAGGACACUAGUCAUAUUGCAUUAAGAGCCCACUCCUCUUCAGUAUGACUUCUGCUUACCUAAUCAUAUAUGCAGUGACUCUGCAUCUAAAUAAGGUCUCAUUUUGAGAUGCUAGGGGUUAGGACUUCAAUAUAUCUUUUUGGGAGGACACAAUUUAGUCCAUAGAAGUAGUAGUGAUUGUUAAUUUUAUGCGACAACUUGGUCUGGCCACGGUGCUCAGAUAUUCGGUCAAACAUUAUUUGGGAUGUUUCUGUGGGAGUAUUUCUCAGAUAAGAUUAACAUUUAAAUUGGCGGACUUUUAGUAAAAUACUUUGUUCUUCAUAAUGUGGGUGGGCCUCAUCUAAUCAGCUGAAGAUCUUACUAGAACAAAGACUGACCUCCCACAAGCAAGAAGGAAUUCUCCCAACAGACUACUUUUGGACUUGAACCACAACUCUUCACUGUGUCUCUAGCCUGCUGGUCUACCCUGCAAGUUUCAGACUGUCAUCUACAAUCAUGUGCGUCACUUCCUUAAAAUCUUUCUGUCUGUCUGUCUCUCUAUAUAUACACUUAUGCAUCCUUUUGGUUCUAUUUCUCUGGAGAAUCCUGACAAAUAAGACAGUCAAGAACAUGAAUUCUGGAGUCAUACAGUUGGAAUUAUAUCUCUCUUUGUUACACAGUUAAUGUGCCUGUGUCACCUUGCAACUUCUCUGAGCCUCUCUGUUUCCUCAUCUUUAGAUUGGAAAUAAUCUUAGAAGAUACUUCACAGAAUGUUGAGGAGAUUAAGUGGAGUUAAUGUAUCUAAAACACUGAGAAUCAUUCCUGGUCCAUAAUAAGCACUGUUAGCUGCCUGGUCAGGGUUCUAUCUCCAAUAUAUAAAACUGGAAGUACACGUAAUAGGAGAUGAAUAAGUAUUUGUUGACUAACCACACUCCCACUAAUGCUCUUCAUUACAUUUCAGGCCAAAGAUGUUGAGCUCUAAAAGUCUUGGACAUCUCCAAUUCCUCAGUCCUAUCACACAAUCAGUUUCCAACACAAGCAGGUGAUUGUAGAGUGAUAUCUAAUUUUAGGCACACGUAAUAGGACUACUUGGACAACCUAAGUUCUGCUCAAAUGUCCCACCUAGAUUUGUGCCGUAUUCUCUCCUUCUGUCCUCUCACCUGUCCCUUGCAGUAGUUAAUAUAAUAUCCAAAAUGACAACCACAUGGUAUUGGUGGUAACAUAAUGGGUUUAGAUAGAUCCUUGCAUCUAGAAACUAAAGGGAAACAGGGUAGAUCUCCUUUCCCCACAAUACUAUUAACCGUGGUUUGUAAACUCUUUCAGAAAGUUCCCCAUUGGCCAGAAACUGUGUGGCUCUAAUUCCACUCCAUGCGUAUUCAACAGUGAAAACUAAACCAAUAAACGAUUACUAAAGCUGCUUAAUGCCAACCUGAAGGUGAAAGGUUAACCCUUCUAGCUGUGUUUCUACAGAACUUUAGCUCCAUAGUGUUUCAGAGCUAAUGAGAGCUUAAGGGAAAAAAUCAAUGGAAUGAGGAAGUAGUCAAACAGUCAGGUAGCCCCAAUCGGAUAACUUAUCUCCAUGGGAGGCUUGGUUAGAAAGCCACAUAUGAGUUUCUAAUUAAAGGAAUAUUAGCAGAAUACAUCCAUAAAUCGCAGAACCAGGCUUAAUUUUCUUGUUUGAAAACUGCCAGGGAAGAGAGCAGAUUGCAAAUAUAUGAAAUAUGACAAAAUGAGACUUAAUGAAUUCUAAGUUUAUUCACUGAAGUAUUUAACUAUCCAAGCCAUCAAGUGGGGAUAAUAAAUUUGAGUGUGUCAUAAGACUGGCCCACUUUAAUUCACAUUUAUAAAAUGAGCUAUAAAUAAAGGGCCUGAUUCAGUGCUUAAUUUUUAGAGAUACAUUAACUCAUAAUUCCCAUGCCUCUAUGAUGCCAAGCACUGAAAGGAAAUAAAAGAGCUUUCAGUUGAUCAGAAGAGAGGUAACCAUCCUGAUGUUUGGACCGCAGGGCAGAGGACUUGGCUUUGGUGAUUCAGCAUCUCUCAUCAGGAUCCUCACCUCUUCCUUUGUCACAAAAAUCAAGUUGAAACCUGAGUUAAGGAGUUCCUGUCAUGGUGCAGCAGAAACAAAUCCACCUAGUGUCCAUGAAGGUGCGGGUUCAAUCCCUGGCCUUGCUCAGUGGGUAAAGGAUCCAGCAUUGCCGUGAGCUGUGGUGUAGGUCGCAGACGUGUUUUGGAUCUGACAUGGCUAUGGCUGUGGUGUAGGCCAGCAUCUGUAGUUCUGAUUUGACCCCUAGCCUGUGAACCUCCAUAUGCAGCAGGUGCAACCCUAAAAAAGCAAAAACAAAAACAAAAAACAAAAA
Molecule: long non-coding RNA, 6882 nt
Filed under: Sus scrofa (pig)
Lineage: Eukaryota; Metazoa; Chordata; Mammalia; Artiodactyla; Suidae
Description: lncRNA (ENSSSCG00005018383.1)
Source: RNAcentral